This is a non-coding RNA of Lupinus albus (white lupine), 89 nucleotides long. Lineage: Eukaryota; Viridiplantae; Streptophyta; Magnoliopsida; Fabales; Fabaceae. The record is from the annotation of a GenBank genome assembly.
CAAUACAUAAACGGUAAAUCCACUCCUUGUUGUUACAAACAUACCCAUAUAUGCUUAUAACAACUAAGUGAUUUACGGUACAUUUUAUU